Molecule: RNA transcript, 4237 nt
Organism: Hevea brasiliensis (rubber tree)
Lineage: Eukaryota; Viridiplantae; Streptophyta; Magnoliopsida; Malpighiales; Euphorbiaceae
Exons: 2
Source: RefSeq, a predicted model, not a curated record
AGCCUGAAGUGUGGCUGUUCUACUUCUAGUAUGAGGUUAAUAUUUGAUCUUGUAGCAGAUGAUAUGAUUCUAACACCAUCAAAUAUGGCCAAAUUAUAGUAUCUACCGCCUAGAUUUUGUUGUUAUAUAAAUUCGUCUCUGUAAUGAUAUGUUUUCAUAAUGUUGGUCUGUAGGGUUUUACUUCAAUUGUCCUUUAGCAAAAUGGAUGCAGAAACUUACUUAGGGCUAGAGUGCUUUUAAUUUUUUUAGGCUGGAUAAUAUAAUGUGUGGUAUGUUGGUCUUGAUGCAUAUAAUUGGAUGAUGCUCAACUACUAUUUAGGUUCAUAUUCAUAGUUGGGACGCAUGGUACUUUCUUUACUUGUUAUGGUAGCAGGAAUUGAUAACAAAAGAAAAUGCAAUAUUAUGUGAGGAAGUUAAUAGAUGAUGAAAAUUGGCAGAUUGGCCCAGUAUAAGUCCAUCUAAUGAGCUUAUUCCUGGUGAGAGGCGCAAUGACAGAAUAAUGAAGGUUCAGUAAGUUGUUAAUGACUUAAAGAAAAGCUCAUUAGAUGGUCAAAACAUAUUAUUUGUGGAUCACUUGCUAGUGUGCCAUUUAAAAUGAAAACAAAAUAUCCUUUAUGCUGUAUAGUAGGAAAAUGGUCACAAGAGCUUAAUCACUCUGUUUACUGUCCCCUUCUUCUGUCUUAUUUAACUGGAGAUGGAACUCGAUUCAAUGAAGUGGCAUUGAAUUUUUGUUGCAACUCCAUUGUCAUUAAUAGGAUUGGUAGGACUUUGGAUUGUUCAAAUUAUAUUAUCCAGCUUGAAAAACUAAGACUGAUUCCUAGUUAUCAUUUAAUUUCUUAUGGUAUGCCUACAUUUUUUUAGGAGUAUUAUGUUCAGCAAAAGCAUCUCUUAUACAGGGAAGUACUGCAAAACUGGUGGCUAAAUACCUACCUGGCAUGCCUAUUUUAUCUGUGUUUGUGCCUGAGAUUAAGACUGAUUCCUUUGAUUGGUCCUGCAGUGAUAGCUCCUGCAAGGCAUAGCCUUAUUUUGCAGCAUGUUUGUACCUGUUUUAUAAUUAUAUGCAGGAUCUGCUAGGGAUUCUCAUGCAGAGACAACAGAAGAACCUUUGAAUUUUGCCAUUUGACAUGCCAAGAUGAAAGGACUAUGCAAGAAUGGAGAUUCUGUUGUGCCUUGCACCAAGUUGGAACUGCAGAGAUAACUUUUGUUUCAGCUUCUUGCUUCUCCUUAAUCAAAGAUGUGAAAAGCGAUUGGCCAAUCCUUGGUGUGAUGACAUAUGUAAGAGAUUUUUUUUUUCCACAUGGUUAGUUUUGCAAAACACUGCUGGAUUUAGCCAUAUUGUGAUUCAGGUAGUUAUGUUGCCAUUGUAUAUACUUCCAACUGCUUCACACUAUGUUCGCAAGUUAAAUGAUAGCUAAAUUAUUUACAGGGGAACAAUAAAUCCAUUUUUAAAGUGCAACAUUCGAACCCUUGCUAUUGGACUUCAACUUUUAGGAAGGAUGACAAUGUUUGUGGAUUGAUCUUGCUGUUUCAGACUGGACCAAUUGAAAUUAGGUGAAAUGCUUGCAAUGCUAAGAUAAUUAAUAUAAGAAUCUUGACCAUAGAGCAUAACUUACCAUCUUAACAUGAUGUCUUACCAAUAUUUUUGAAAGCCCUCCCAGCUAGCAUACUAAGGUCAGUUCAUUGAUAUUGUUGACACUUGUACCUGGGCAGAUCUUUUCCAGAUCUUGAAUUGGUGAAAGAAAGCUUCCCAUUGUCGAUUCUUAGGUGGAACUACAAAACAAACAUGGAAAAGAAGAUUAGUUUUUACAAUGGGCUGAUUACUUUGGUAUCCUUUUCUUUGGAUUUUUUGAAAUUGUUAAUUGUUAGCUACUCUUUAUGAUUUGUUAAAUGGUUUGUUUCUAAUGUUGAGGAUACUUUAGGCAAAUGGGUGUGAGUUGGCCUUCGUCUCGCUACGGUCUGGUGAAAAUGGUUUCAAGUACCUUAAUCUAUCUUUAGCCAAUGUUAUGACAAAAACACUAGCACAACUUCAAAAGUUUAACUGAAAGAUGUUUUUUCUAGGAUUCCAGUCUCUUCCUUAUCUUCAUGAUAAGGUCCUUACUGCUGCUGAUGCUUUCAUCGGUUUCUCUUCCAAUCAGAAGAAGCAGCAGGUCCAAAUUAACAACAAAACUUGUCCAUAUUUAUAUUUGUUAUUAUUCUUCUUUUUAUAGUAUUUCUUGGUGCAUGAUGUUUGCGGAUGAUAUUGUUCUGAUAGAUGAGACACGAGGAGUCAAUAGAAAGCUAGAACUUUGGAGAAGAACUCUAGAGUCAAAGGGUUUCAAGUUAAGUAGAACGAAGACAGAAUACAUGCAUUGCAAGUUCAGUGAAUGCCAAACUGGCGAUAGGGAAGGAGUUAGUUUGAAUGGAGUGAUACUGCCCCAAAGUAAUCACUUUAAAUAUCUAGGCUCAGUCCUUCAAGUAGAUGGGAGAUGUGAGGAGGAUGUUAGUCAUAGGAUUAAAGUCGGAUGGUUGAAGUGGAGACGUGCCACGGGAGUUUUAUGUGAUCGUAAGAUUCCUAAUAAAUUGAAAGGAAAAUUUUACCGUACAGCCGUACGACCGGCUAUGUUAUAUGAUAGUGAGUGUUGGGCACUGAAAGAGCCGUAUGCAUCUAAGAUAAGAGUUGUAGAGAUGAGAAUGUUAAGGUGGAUGAGUGGCCAUAUUAGAUUAGAUAAAGUUCGUAACGAGAGUAUUAGAGAAAAGGUAGGAGUGGUGCCAAUUGAAGAUAAGUUGAGAGAAGGGAGAUUGAGGUGGUUUGGUCAUGUGAAGCGUAGACAUACGGAGGCUCCAGUUAGACAAGUAGAGCACAUUAGGUUAGAGGAUAGAAAGAAAAAAAGUGGUAGACCUAAAUUGACUUGGAGGAGAGUAGUACAACAUGACCUAGAAGCAUUACACAUUUCCGAGGAUUUAACCCAAAAUCGUUCAGAGUGGAGAAAGCGAAUCCAUAUAGCCGACCCCAAAUUUUUGGGAUAAAAGGCUUAGUUAAGUUGAGUUGAGUUGAGUAUUCUUCUUUUUUAUAGCUUGUGUAUGUGCUGCAGGGGAUUAGGCCUGGGAUUCUAGCUGGUAUUGUCAAUGGCUUUAAAGCAGGGAAAGAAGAGCAGACCACUGAUACUACUCCAACACCUCAAUCCAAUUUUAGUCACCUAGAGGACAUUUUCUCAAAGCCACGAUACUCAGAAUCAUCUCCAGCUGUUACUGAUAUUCAGGAGGCUGUAGAGUAUAGAUGAUAUUGAGAUAGAUGAAUCAAUUCUGCCCACGGUAACUACAUUGCAGGAAGUGAAAAAUAUAAACAGAGGUAAAUUUGAAUUUUCCAUAUUUAAUAUGUUCUUUUACUCGUUAAUUGUCUUUAACAAUAUUGUUAUUGUACUGCAUAGAAGAUACAGAAAGGGAACAAUUAUUAGGCAAGGCUGGUGAUAUGAAACCCGGACUAAGGAUACUUGAGGAAAUUAUAGCUCAAUAUAGAAAAGAUGGGGUAAUAUCUUGAUUUUUUUUUAAAAAUUUUUUAAUUCAUUUGGCUCUGUUUGCAACUCGAGAUCUUGCUGUCCUAGAGAUGACAUUUAUUUAGUUCUCAACUUCUUUUCUUCAAGGUGACAUUUAUUUCAAUGGGUUACUUAUUUGCGGUAAUUGUUUUUAGGAUGCCUUGUCAGUUGCUGCACAAGCAAGAAACAAGGUUGUGGACAGACAUGAAAAACUGGAGGUAUGAUGUUGAAGGAUUAGCAUGGAGCUUAUUUUAGUUUUUAAAUAGGGCAUAUCAACUUUUGUUUGGAAACUAACCUACCACAUAAUUAUUUUGAGUGGCAAUGGUGAGAGAAAAGGCGAUAAUUGUAGUCGUGGCAUUAAACUUGAUUUUGCUCUUGUAUUUCAUCAUCUCUAUCCAAAAAAAAAAAAACUUGUUAAGGCAAUGGAGAAUCGAAAAUGGUGGCAUGUAUGAAAAGGGGAAAAUCUGGUUUUGGUUAGCAUGUGUUUCAUUUGGCCACACCCUUUCUUACUAGAUUUGUUCAGGGAUGUGGGAGCUGAUCCCAGGCAUUUAAAGCACUGGAUAUCAUGUUCUCAAGUCAGCUGUUGCUUGUAGCAGAAAAUUAAGAGCUUUUAAUUUAAGAGUGAGUUUUCAUUGUCUAUAAUGUAAAGCAAAUGAUGGUGCGCUCAGUUUUUUUUUACGGCAAAUACAGCUGCUUCCAGCAUUUUUUUAAAAACAUUCUUUGCA